Non-coding RNA from Bos taurus (domestic cattle), 73 nucleotides. Lineage: Eukaryota; Metazoa; Chordata; Mammalia; Artiodactyla; Bovidae. The record is from Rfam.
UCCCUGGCAGUCCAGUGGUUAAGAUGCUGUGCUCCCAAUGCAGAGGGUCCAGGUUUGAACCCUGGUUGGGGAA